GGAAAAAAGUUAUUACAACUUGUUUUUAUUUCUUUUCCAUUUUGCAUGUGUGAGUGCUGCCUUGUAGCGUUCAACUAGAGACUCUUAAAGAGCCUGUGUGGCUCACCUGUAUCUUUAACAAUGGUAACUUUUUGGUAAAAAUACCUUGUAAAUUUUCUAUCUACAUUUGUAACUAUUAAACUUUUCAAGAUGAGAGGCAAAAACUAUAAAAAAUGGUAAAAAAAAAAAAAGGAAGUUAUGGUAUGAUUGCCAAUGAAAAAUGAAUUAGACAACUCUCCACAAAAGACCAAAAUGACACAGAAAUUAACAACUAUAGGUCAUCGUACGACCUUGAACAAUGAACAAAGCCCACACUACAUAGUCAGCUAUAAAAGGCCUUGAAAUGACACUGUAAAACAAUUCAAACGAGAAAACUAACAGCCUUAUUUAAAUAUAUGUAACACUUAAACAAAUGACAACCAC
RNAcentral lists this long non-coding RNA (462 nucleotides) under Mytilus galloprovincialis (Mediterranean mussel). The record is from RNAcentral. Lineage: Eukaryota; Metazoa; Mollusca; Bivalvia; Mytilida; Mytilidae.